ACAGCAGUCGCCGCGGUAAUACGUAGGGGGCGAGCGUUGUCCGAAGUUACUGGGCGUAAAGCGCGCGUAGGCGGCUUCUUAAGUCUGAGGUGAAAGGUUCAACGCUUAACGUGAACAGUGCCUUGGAUACUGGGGAGCCUGAGUAUGGGAGAGGGCAGUGGAAUGGCUGGUGUAGCGGUGAAAUGCGUAGAUAUCAGUCGGAACACCCAUGGCGAAGGCAGCUGCCUGGCCUAAUACUGACGCUGAGGUGCGAAAGCGUGGGGAGCGAACAGGAUUAGAUACCCGGGUAGUCCAUGUCUCUUAUA
This 305-nucleotide ribosomal RNA is filed under the name uncultured bacterium. Its description in RNAcentral is "partial 16S ribosomal RNA". It matches the Rfam family "Bacterial small subunit ribosomal RNA", at positions 508 to 808 of the family's 1533-position model. The record is from RNAcentral.